GGGCACGUAGCAUAAUGGAUAAUGCAUCACUCUUCUAAAGUGCCGAUUGCUGGUUCGAGUCCAGCCGUGCCUG
RNAcentral lists this transfer RNA (73 nucleotides) under Synechococcus phage S-CAM1. It matches the Rfam family "tRNA". From Rfam's summary of the family: Transfer RNA (tRNA) molecules are approximately 80 nucleotides in length. Their secondary structure includes four short double-helical elements and three loops (D, anti-codon, and T loops). Further hydrogen bonds mediate the characteristic L-shaped molecular structure. tRNAs have two regions of fundamental functional importance: the anti-codon, which is responsible for specific mRNA codon recognition, and the 3' end, to which the tRNAs corresponding amino acid is attached (by aminoacyl-tRNA synthetases). tRNAs cope with the degeneracy of the genetic code in two manners: having more than one tRNA (with a specific anti-codon) for a particular amino acid; and 'wobble' base-pairing, i.e. permitting non-standard base-pairing at the 3rd anti-codon position. Lineage: Duplodnaviria; Heunggongvirae; Uroviricota; Caudoviricetes; Pantevenvirales; Kyanoviridae. The record is from Rfam by way of RNAcentral. RNAcentral also lists the same sequence under 1 other name.